This is a long non-coding RNA of Pezoporus occidentalis (night parrot), 1538 nucleotides long. RefSeq lists it as uncharacterized. NCBI's taxonomy places the organism in Eukaryota, Metazoa, Chordata, Aves, Psittaciformes, Psittacidae. The transcript has 5 exons. The record is from RefSeq and is a predicted model, not a curated record.
CUGAAUCAGCAAGGGACUGCUACCUACUUACACAGUGUCUUUGGACUCACAGUCCUGGUAUAGGAGGUUUCAAGCUCCUCUGUGCACAGAGGUCAUCAAGAAGUCCUGGUGGGAUCAAUGGCCCUGAGCAGGGUGCCUAUGUUCUGCCCACCAUGUGUCACUCCUCUUCCUGCAGCCUGGAAGAAAAAUAGGAAGGGAAAGGAAAAAGAAGCGUGUAUGGGUGCCAGUCAUGCUGUAGUGAAGCUCCCAUCUGCUUCCACCUGGCUGUGGUGCGAGCCAUCCCUGCCUCGAACUGGUGUGUUCUCUGCUGGGGUUAGCCUAUGCCCAGGCAGGGCCGGAGGGGGCUGGUGCCAUGUCGCAAGGGCUCUGCAUGGGAGAGGGUCCGAGCCAGCGGGAAGGAGCCGGCUCCACUCGCAGGCUCCAGCGCUGGCCCCGGCAGCGCAGCUCGGGUGGGAGGGGAUGAGAGCCUCCUUCCACUCCUGCCGGUUUCCCAGUGGUCUAAUUCAGAGCUGCUUCUGGGAUGGGGCCAGUGCCAGACACUGCGGGGAAGAGGGGCAGGAAAUGUGGAUGCAGCUAACACUCAGGUGUUACUUCAUGCCCAGCAAGACAGCAAGAACAUGGAGGCUGCUAGAUUCCAGAUGGGAAAGUCUGCAAAGACCCUGGAGAGAAAACUGCCAGCCAGCAGUCACCAGGACUUGUGGAAGAGAAGACUGGCAGAAAUGUUAUAAUUGGUACCGAGCAAGAAUUAAGCAGAAAUUGGACUAAAAGUGCCUGAGGAUCCCUGUGGGCAUGCAGAGGAGCAAAAUCCAGGGGUAGGAGUCAGCAGCAGGGAAGACGCCCAUCUGGUGCAGACAUCGGCGUUCCCCUCGAGACAAAGAUUUUUGGGUGAAUCACUGCCGCUGGGAGCCGCUGCGAUCAGAAAGCAUGAAGCAGUUCCCUUAGGCAGCUAUCGCCCAGCUGGGGAAUUGGUUUGGAGAAGAGGGCUGAAAGUCUGGAUUUGACCCCAGAUUUGAUACAGAGCUGGUGCAGAGAUUCAGAGUCUGGUGUUUGAAGUUGGUGCCCAACCCAGAGUUAGGGGGACUAAAUUCAGGGGUGGUUGCCUCUGGAAAGGCUGCAUCAAAAUGUGAACCCGACGGGAAAGAAGUGCUGUCUCCUUGCCAAAAGAUGCUUUAUUGCUAUUCAUCUGCAGCAUGGUUAGGUGCCAGCCAAGACUGGGACUCUGCUGCUUGAGGCAAUGUUCAUUCAGAGCAGCAGAUAUGAAUCUCACAGAUGUGGCUAUUUCAGUGUCUAGAAGCGAUGAGGAGCUGGGGAAACACCAAGGCCAUGGGUUGUCCUAACAUGCCAAAAAAUUGGGCCAGUGAUGUAAGUUCUUCUUAGCCUGUUAAUUUUCAGGGUGAGGCCCUCAACUUUUCCCUGGGAAGAGGAAUUCUGAAAGAUAUUUGCAAGUCAAAUCAGUAUUUUUUUGGACUUUCCUUACAAAAUGGAUUCUCAGAGAGUUUCCAGUUUGGGAUCUUGGGUUUUGCAUUUUGUAUUUCAUU